RNAcentral lists this long non-coding RNA (1060 nucleotides) under Equus caballus (horse). RNAcentral describes it as "lncRNA (ENSECAG00000054762.1)". Lineage: Eukaryota; Metazoa; Chordata; Mammalia; Perissodactyla; Equidae. The record is from RNAcentral.
UGACCAUUACAGCUUUAUCUCUCCUCGACUAUGAAUGGACACACCCCAAACACGGUUUUCUCCCCCAGGCAUAUUCUGAAAGACUGCACCGUCUUUGGAGAGUUGGGAUGGAAGCACAGCUGUCCUUUCCUCGACACAUUCCGUUCAGGUGGCCGUGGUUUUCCCAGGGGGUACUCGAGGCCACCGAAUGACGCAAGGGAGGAUUCCCCAGGUGGAGCCUGGAGACGAGGACCCUGAUGCACGUGAUUUUUGUAUGAGAGCUCCAAGGGGACGUGUGGCGAGGGGACCACCCAAGGGAGGAGGCUGAACAUGGAGGCGAUAUGAAGCCCAAUCCUGUGGAGUCCUGAGGACAGGGCCAGGUGCGCACCCAUCCCAGUCAUCCUGCUCAGGGGGAAGGGGGCGAAGAGUUUGCUCUCCUGUAUCUAGCUAAGGGCUGCCGUUGGAGGUUGCAAAUUCCCAGGCCUUCCCUGCAAGCAGGCAAAGUGGGCUCCGGCAUCUGAGGGUGGCCCCCAGCAGAGGUGGCAGUGCCAGCUGUGGGGAGUGAAAGCAUCGGGAAGUGGUCAUCAAAGGAGAUGCUGGGGGACAGUCACCAUGUCCCAGCCAUGUGACAGCCUCAGCCUCUUUGUCACUCAUAUGUCUCUUCAAGUCUCCAGAAGUUUCUCAUUUGUUUCUGGAUAUGAAUAAACACUACCUCAAGUUAUACACUGAUGAGGAAAUGGCUGAUGCAAAGUCGUAGCCGCUUCCAUUUGACUCUGCUAUCUUGUCAUUACGGGAUAAUUCAAGGUGGCUCUUGAAGGAGAGAGGGUUUUCUCUCUCCUUCUUUGAGGAAAUUCAUCCAGUGGGGAUGCACCACCUCUGGCUCUGGUUCCAGUGAGGGGCUUGGGACAUUUGUGCCGACACUUGACCCCUCUCCGCGUGGUUCUCCCUUAACGCGCGUCCUCUGCCCAUGCUGUCUCCCUUCUCUCUCCUCUCUUAGGUUGUCUCCGGAGGAUUUUUGUCUUCUGCCCUGCUCACCUCUCUGCUUUCAUUUCGCACUGCUGUUCCUCUAGUAGUCUCUUCU